GACGAACGCUGGCGGCGUGCUUAACACAUGCAAGUCGAACGGAAAGGCCCUGCUUUUGUGGGGUGCUCGAGUGGCGAACGGGUGUGUAACACGUGAGUAACCUGCCCUUGACUUUGGGAUAACUUCAGGAAACUGGGGCUAAUACCGGAUAGGAGCUCCUGCUGCAUGGUGGGGGUUGGAAAGUUUCGGCGGUUGGGGAUGGACUCGCGGCUUAUCAGCUUGUUGGUGGGGUAGUGGCUUACCAAGGCUUUGACGGGUAGCCGGCCUGAGAGGGUGACCGGCCACAUUGGGACUGAGAGACGGCCCAGACUCCUACGGGAGGCAGCAGUGGGGAAUAUUGCACAAUGGGCGGAAGCCUGAUGCAGCAACGCCGCGUGCGGGAUGACGGCCUUCGGGUUGUAAACCGCUUUCGCCUGUGACGAAGCGUGAGUGACGGUAAUGGGUAAAGAAGCACCGGCUAACUACGUG
RNAcentral lists this ribosomal RNA (468 nucleotides) under uncultured bacterium. RNAcentral's name for it is "partial 16S ribosomal RNA". It matches the Rfam family "Bacterial small subunit ribosomal RNA", at positions 28 to 507 of the family's 1533-position model. The record is from RNAcentral.